This 75-nucleotide transfer RNA is filed under the name Chloroflexi bacterium RBG_13_52_14. Its description in RNAcentral is "tRNA-Thr". It matches the Rfam family "tRNA". Rfam says of the family: Transfer RNA (tRNA) molecules are approximately 80 nucleotides in length. Lineage: Bacteria; Bacillati; Chloroflexota. The record is from RNAcentral.
GCCCGAGUAGCGCAACGGCAGCGCAGCCGAUUUGUAAUCGGCAGGCUAGCGGUUCGAAUCCGCUCUCGGGCUCCG